Molecule: ribosomal RNA, 507 nt
Filed under: Heteronemertea gen. sp. 2 TCH-2015
Lineage: Eukaryota; Metazoa; Nemertea; Pilidiophora; Heteronemertea
Description: partial 16S ribosomal RNA
Rfam family: Bacterial large subunit ribosomal RNA
Source: RNAcentral
UGCCUAUAGGUUAUUUAGUUAUAGGUAUUUUCUGCCCGGUGGUUUUUAACGGCCGCGGUACUCUGACCGUGCAAAGGUAGCAUAAUCAUUUGCCCUUUUAUUGGGGGCUGGAAUGAAUGAGAUAACGAGGCUCUGACUGUCUCUUUUUUUAAGGUGAAACUUGUUGUUCUUGUGAAGAAACAGGAGUGAAGGAGAAAGACAAGAAGACCCUAUUAAGCUUGACCUAUUUUUUGUACUUAUUUUUUUGUAAAAAUAAAGAUGUAUAAUAAUAAUAAGGGUUUAAUUGGGGUGAUUAAAAAAGAAAGAAUCUUUUUUUAUAAUAAAGACUUAUUUGUUAAAAAAAGAGCCAGAAGGUUUUGAAAAAGAGAAAAAGUUACUAUAGGGAUAACAGCGUAAUUUUUUCUGAGAGUUCGUAUCGAAGAGAGAGAUUGCGACCUCGAUGUUGACUUAUUGUGUCCUCUGGGUGUAGGGGCUUUUAGGGUUAGUCUGUUCGACUAUUAAAACAAU